GGAAAGACAUGAUCAACAGCUAAACUACAAGUCACUGUAGAUGGCAUUAAGUUUGGUAAAGGUGCUCUUAGGGACGGUGUCUGGGGAGACCCACUGCACAGAAAGGCCUUCUUGGGGAGGUAAAGCCAAAGGCCCAAGACAUGAUAAACAGCCUUCUGGGCUUGCAGAACCAGCUGGGAAGAUGAGGGCACAGACUCAGGAGGAGGAAGAUGAGGGCACAGACUCAGGAGGAGGGUUUGGCAUGUUCCAGAGAGAAGAAAACUCCCAGUACUGCCUAACGGAGAAUGGUCUUCCAACGUUGAUGAGGGUGAUUUAA
RNAcentral lists this long non-coding RNA (316 nucleotides) under Vulpes vulpes (red fox). RNAcentral describes it as "lncRNA (ENSVVUG00000026439.1)". Lineage: Eukaryota; Metazoa; Chordata; Mammalia; Carnivora; Canidae. The record is from RNAcentral.